AUUAUUAUUAUUAUUAUUAUAUUUUAUUAGAUAUCCUGUAAAUGUUACGUCAACCCCAAUUCUGUAUAAUCAUUCUUAUGUCACCACUGCACAGGUAUUGCUCAUCGCACAUCGUCUUCAUUACAUGUUCAGCUUUCGUAACAGCUCAGCCAAUCAGAAAGCAGUGUUUCUUGAAGCCCCGCCUCCGGCACAAUAUGUAGUAGGUUGUGAGCUUUUAUAACCAUUCGCGGACACAGGAAGCUGUGUGUACCUGUUACGGAGAAGUUUACGAAAAGUACAGAUUGACACUGGACAGAAACGAUGGUGUGACUGCUAAUAAAAGCUAGCAUCUACGUGGUUAGAAGGAUCCGGGCUUCCAUCGCUGAAGGAGAGCAACAGGAGAAGCCCAUCCUGACACCAUGUAGUGCUAUAGCUGGAAAGAGAGCGGGGCAGGGGUUGAGAGAAAAAGCCUCUGCUGCAUCACUGAGCCCAGGAUCUGAUGAAGGCGUCUUAGAAGCAGCAGGGCCGGGGACGUCAUCAGAGACAGCUGUGCAGAAAUGUGGCUCCUGACGUUAAAGACUACGCUGGACACUAGGACCAUGGACAAGUCAAUAAAAAUAAAUAAUCGAUUAUUUAUUUAAUUUCAUUUUUGGGGGGUACUCAUUCAUUUUAUACACCAAACAGUUUAUGUGUGAAGAUCUACAUUGUUAUUUUUCUUUUACACAAAAGCAAACAUCAAACAAACAAGAAAUAUUAUUCCAGCACUGUCCAUGUUGUAUGUUGUACCCAGUGGUCAAAUUUUUAUUACUUGAAACAUUUUGACUUGCCACACCAUGAAGUUAGCAUAGCUAAUAGAAAAUAUCAUUAUAAUAACAUUACCCAAAAUCUGUUUAAAAAAAAGUCUGCAUAUGUUAUCAAGUGUGAGUGGUAGGUCAACAUGUUCUCUGUAAGUAAAAUCUGAAGUUUAUCUGCUGCAGUGUUUGAAGGCCGGCUCACCAACCUCUUUCCAGGGGCUGAGCUGGCCUGAUGUUUCUGCAGUUACAUCAAUAAAUUAUAAAAAUGCUCUUGUGGUCAUAUUUUCUUAUAUAAGGAAUAAGAAUGUACCAGUAAACAUGCAUUGACAAUAAUUGUGAAAAAUGAAAAUAUCUAUGUAAAAAAUGAAAUCUUCAAUUAUUUUAUUUUAGUAAUAAAUGAGUGAGUGGCCGUUCUUUCACUGAGUUAGUUAAGUUAAGUGAGUUUUUUUUUUCUACAGCUUUCAGAAACAAUUUUGCUGUUUGAUUUCUACAUUUUUGAAAAUAUAUUUAUUUUUUAUUUCAAUUAUGGCUGAAGGCUGUGGCUGAAGCAAAAACGCAGGUGGGGGAGGAGCUUGGAGAGGUUUUCGGACCGUCUCCAAGAAUUUCUGGCAAAAUUGUCAGGCAACUCAGGAGGGGGAGCGGUGCUCUACUUGCACUGUGUAUAGUGCAGGUAGAGCACUGCUGACUUCGACUGAGGAUCUUUUCAGGUUGUGGAAGAGAUAUUUAAAGGAUCACCUUAAUCCCAGUGGCGCAUCUUCCGUGGAGGAAGUAGAGUCUGGGGACGAGAGGGAUGACUUGUCCAUCAAGUCCAUUGGUAUGGGCCAUUCGUUCCUUUUACAACUGUUGCAAGUGCUUGGGCCACACACCCGGUAAUAAGUGGGACUCUGCCAGGGCUGCCCUUUGUCACCGAUUCUGUUCAUAAUUUUUAUAGACAGAAUUUCUAGGCAUAGCCAAGUGGUGGAAGACUUCCACUUGGGUGGUCUUACAAUCUCAUCUCUUCUUUUCACAGAUGAUGUGGUUCUGUUGAAUUCAUCAGGUGAUGGCCUCCAGUUUGCACUGGAGUGGUUCGCAGCAAAGUGUGAAGCGGCAGGAAUGAGAAUCAGCCCCUCCAAUUUUCGGUUGAUCUACAUCCCUACCCUCACCUAGCACUAGAUUGCAGAUACAAGCAGCGUAAAUGAGCUUUCUCCAAAUGUUGGUUGGCCUCUCCCUUAGAGAUAGGGUGAGGAGUUCGGCCAUUCAGGAGGGACUCAGAGUAGAGCCACUACUCCUACACAUCGAAAGGAGCCACUUGAGGUGGUUCUGACAGGGAUGCCACCUGGGUGCCUCAUGCCUGAGGUGUUCUGGGUAUGUCCUACUGGGAGGAGGCCCUGGGGCAGACCCAGGACACGCUGGAGAAAUUAUAUCUCUCGGCUGGCAUGGGAAUGGCUUGGUGUUCCCCUGGAUAAGUGGAAUAAAGUGAAUGGAUGGAUGGAAUAAUGGUGAAGUGAAAAUCCGAGUUUAAUCCUUAAAAUUACUUUUUUUUUUCGUGCUGGGCCUUUUGACUUUUCCAAGCUGGAAAAGCACAGGAUAGAAAUGGCAGCAUUAUUGGCUCCAUUCAGGGAAUACUAUAAUGUCCCAUGACAGCCAUGUUGAUGAGAAAGCAUGGAUUACUGACUGUUGAAUGAGUUGUGAAUAAUUACAUCAUGGAUUUUUCUGCUGUAUGUACAGAUUUAUCCUGAGAGAUUUUGUAAAAAAUCUUUUUGUGGAAAAAAACUUGAUAGAUAGGUAGAUAAUUAAGUUUAAGCACCAUAUGUGCUGAAACUGUUGUAAAACUUACAGCUGUAUUAUUGCUGGUCUAACAUUGGUAUGCUUAUUGCCCCUGGUAAUUGGUAUGCAGUUUAACAAAAAACAAAAAGACUGUAAAAGUGGAUGGUAUAUUUUUUAUAUAUAUGAAUUUUGGGUCCUGUGGGUGCUGGAGUAGCAGACCAAUUAAACUAUAAGUUAGUUAUUGUUCUGCUGGGAUACUUGCUGGGAUGCAUCUUGAAAUUCAUCUUCAUGUGAUAGUGAAACAUCCAUCAGUUUUCCCAGACACAAAUCCAAUAAAAUCAACUACAAGAUUUGCUGAAAUGAGAUGAAUCUACCGGCAACAUCACAGUAUGAGAAUUCAUAAUGAGGGAGAGUUUUUGCAGGGGAUCUACACAACUGUUGGCAGUUUUGGUUGUUUUAAUUGCUUUAUUGACACGUACCAGCCACCUUGGUAGGUAUUCUGUGCUAGUACCAAGUUGGACCUCCUUUUUCCUUCAGAGCACAGAUGCAACAUUUUCUUGGUCCAUUUGAUGUGAUAGCAUAAGAUAGUUGUUGCACAUUUGCUGGCUAAAUAUUCAUGAUGGGAAUUUUCCUGUUUCACCACAUCCCAAAGGUCCUCUAUUGGAUUAUGAUCUCGUGACUCUGAGGCCAUUUGAGUACAGUGAACUCACUGUCAAGCCAGAUUUGAACUUUGUGACUCUGGUGUUUUAUCAGAAGAUUCAUUGUGCACACCAGAGUCAUGGUCAGAACACGGUCAGCAACAAUAAACAAUAUUCAGUUAGCACCAAGGAGGGAUUUGUAAAACCAGGCAAUGUUUUCCAGUCACCCUUUGUCGAACUUUGUGGACCUCAUGGAAACUGUUGCCUCUGUUGCCUUUUUUUUAGCUGACAGGAACUGCACCCAAUGUGCUCUUUUGCUGAUGUAGAAGACCACACCUACUGUACACCUAAGUCUUUGCAUUGGGAAAGAAUGUUUUUUUUUUCUUAUUUCUGAUGUUUCCCAGUGCUUUACUGCAACAGUCUUCAGUUGUUUUUUGUUCAUUAGUUGUCUUUACCAUGGGAAAUGCACCUCAACUGAGUUGACUGUCUGACUCUAAAACACCAUAAUAUUGUACUUAAAAAUGUUUCCAGUUUUUCUUUGUUCCAGAUGCUGUUGACUUAGCCACUGCCAAUGUCCUAAUAUUCCUAAAGUUAAAUGUGAUGGAUCUGUUUUGGCUUUCAUCUUAGUGACUGACUGUUUAACUUGGACUUAAUGUGUGAAUCCUGUGUCCACACAUUGUGGAUUCACAUAAACAACUAGCAGAUGUAAAUACUAUACUUGGAAUCAACUCUAGACCUUUUAGAAGACAGUAAAACUUUAUUGUCAUUGCACAGAAGUACCUGCUUAUUUUAUGAAGAAAUAAUGAAGGGAUCAUACAUCUGUUAUAACGCUUGAGUGAAUUGUAGAAUAAUAUUUGAGCCUCUGACAAUAGGAGCUACUCAUAAAAAGAUAAAUGUAAAUGUAAUUCCUCAACUGUGAAUGGAAUAUUUUUGUUCAGCCCCCUCGAAUUAAAGCUGACUGUGUACAUUUAAACUGUUUCUUGUUUUUUUUUAUUUCAAAACUAGACUUCAACUUUAAAUAUU
Long non-coding RNA from Astatotilapia calliptera (eastern happy), 4180 nucleotides. Lineage: Eukaryota; Metazoa; Chordata; Actinopteri; Cichliformes; Cichlidae. The record is from Ensembl.